UGCAGAUUCGCCUUCUGGUUGAUCCUGCCGGCGCCCCGCUAUUGGAAUUCGAUUAAGACAUGCGCAGUCGAGAGUCGCAAGGACUCGGCGGACCGCUCAGUCCCUCGCGGAUAACAUGCCCUUGGGUGGGGGAUAACCUCGGGAAACUGAGAAUAAUACCCCAUAGAUCUAGAAAGCUGGAAUGCUUUUAGAUCGAAAACUCCGGUGCCCAAGGAUUGGUCUGCGGCGUAUCAGGUUGUAGUGGGUGUAACGGACCCCCUAGCCUAUGACGCGUAAGGGCCUUGAGAGAGGGAGCCCUGAGAUGGACUCUGAGACAUGAGUCCAGGCCCUACGGGGCGCAGCAGUCGCGAAAAACUUCACAAUGGGGGAAACCCCGAUGAGGGAAUUCCAAGUGCCAGCACAUUUGUGUUGGCUGUUCUCUGGUCUAAAAAACCGGAGAAGUAAGGGCCGGGUAAGACGGGGUGCCAGCCCGCCCGGGGUAAUACCCGCGUCCCAAGGUGGUGGUCGGAUAUUAUUGAGCCUAAAAGGUCCGUAGCCGGUCUUGUAAAUCCUUGGUUAAAU
This 561-nucleotide ribosomal RNA is filed under the name uncultured archaeon. Its description in RNAcentral is "bacterial SSU rRNA". It matches the Rfam family "Archaeal small subunit ribosomal RNA", at positions 1 to 550 of the family's 1478-position model. The record is from RNAcentral.